Long non-coding RNA from Gossypium arboreum, 330 nucleotides. RefSeq lists it as uncharacterized. The record is from RefSeq and is a predicted model, not a curated record. Lineage: Eukaryota; Viridiplantae; Streptophyta; Magnoliopsida; Malvales; Malvaceae. The transcript is spliced from 3 exons.
GAAGAUCAAAUGGCUGGAGGUUCCCAAUCAACACUUUGAUUGUGCGGAAACAUUGUUAAGCAUUCUAAGGUUUUAGAAGGCUCGAGAGUGUUUUCGCUACGAAACAAUACCAGGUAAUCUAAAGUCUUAGGCGGAUCGAUGUAGUGGAGGACUCGACGAUGAUCACAUGUCUUGGACCGUUUCGGUUAUGGUUUUUAUUUAAAUUCUCGUUUCUUUUCUGGAUAUUUUUGUAAAUGUGGACUUUUCAGACUAUUGUUUAUACUUGGGUUUGACUGUGCUUUAUGAUUUUAAUAUUGCAGAACUCGACAAAAGCUCAGAUUUUACCAAAAA